GAUGAACGCUGGCGGUAUGCUUAACACAUGCAAGUCGAACGGUACCUCCGGGAAUAGUGGCGGACGGGUGUGUAACGCGUGAGAAUCUAUCUUCAGGUCGGGGACAACAGUUAGAAAUGACUGCUAAUACCGGAUGUGCUGAAAGGUAAAAGAUUUAUUGCCUGAAAAGGAGCUCGCGUCAGAUUAGCUAGUAGGUGGUGGAAGAGGCUACCUAAGCUUGGAUCUGUAGCUGGUCUGAGAGAACGACCAGCCACACUGGAGCUGAGACACAGUCCAGAAUCCUACGGGAGGCGGGAGUGGGGGAUUCACCGAAAUGGGGGAAGGGAUGACGGCGCAAUGCCGCGAAAGGGACGAAGGCUGUUAAGACAUGAAGCUCUUUUAUCACGGAAGAUUCUGACGGUACUUGAGGAAUAAGCACCGGCUAACUCCGUG
Molecule: ribosomal RNA, 432 nt
Filed under: uncultured bacterium
Lineage: Bacteria
Description: partial 16S ribosomal RNA
Rfam family: Bacterial small subunit ribosomal RNA
Source: RNAcentral